ACAAAAAUAACCACCAGGAGAAAAUUUUGUAAACUAGUAUCGACUACAUUAAUCUCCACUAUUUAACCAAAACCAAUGCCUACUGUACAUCACUAUAUUUCAAGCAUAGCAGCCAAGAAGUCUCGUGCCCCGCAGAGUCCUAUGAAUAAUCUGUACAACUAAUAUACAGUUCUGCACUUCCUUCUCAUACUACUACAGCGG
This 201-nucleotide unclassified non-coding RNA is filed under the name Hevea brasiliensis (rubber tree). Lineage: Eukaryota; Viridiplantae; Streptophyta; Magnoliopsida; Malpighiales; Euphorbiaceae. The record is from RNAcentral.